This is a non-coding RNA of Acanthosepion pharaonis, 98 nucleotides long. The record is from the annotation of a GenBank genome assembly. Lineage: Eukaryota; Metazoa; Mollusca; Cephalopoda; Sepiida; Sepiidae.
CAUUAAAACACCAGUUCCCGUGCGAUCACAGAAGUUAAGCGACGUCAAGCCUGGUCAGUACCUAGAUGUCUGACUGCUUGGGAAUACCACUAGCUGUU